This 486-nucleotide ribosomal RNA is filed under the name uncultured bacterium. RNAcentral describes it as "partial 16S ribosomal RNA". It matches the Rfam family "Bacterial small subunit ribosomal RNA", at positions 28 to 507 of the family's 1533-position model. The record is from RNAcentral.
GACGAACGCUGGCGGCGUGCUUAACACAUGCAAGUCGAACGCUGAAGACCUGGCUUUUGUUGGGUUGGAUGAGUGGCGAACGGGUGAGUAACACGUGAGUAACCUGCCCUCUUCUUUGGGAUAACGCCCGGAAACGGGUUCUAAUACUGGAUAUUCACUGCUCCUCGCAUGGGGGGUGGUGGAUAGGUUUGUUCUGGUUGGGGGUGGGCUCGCGGCCUAUCAGCUGGUUGGUGGGGUGAUGGCCUACCAAGGCUUUGACGGGUAGCCGGCGGGGGAGGGUGACAGGGGAAAUUGGAAACGGGAUAGGGACCAGAGUGCGACGGGAGGCAGCAGUGGGGGAUAUUGCACACUGGGCGAAUGCAGGAUGACGCGGCGGGGCGUGAGGGAUGGAGGCCUUCGGGGUGUAAACCUCUUUAGAGAAUGGUAGAGCCGCAACAGUGGGUUGUGGUGAGGGUAGUGGGUAAAGAAGCGCCGGCUAACUACGUG